RNAcentral lists this ribosomal RNA (429 nucleotides) under Chloroflexota bacterium. RNAcentral's name for it is "Chloroflexi bacterium partial 16S ribosomal RNA". It matches the Rfam family "Bacterial small subunit ribosomal RNA", at positions 355 to 776 of the family's 1533-position model. The record is from RNAcentral. Lineage: Bacteria; Bacillati; Chloroflexota.
UGGGGAAUAUUGCACAAUGGGCGCAAGCCUGAUGCAGCCAUGCCGCGUGUAUGAAGAAGGCCUUCGGGUUGUAAAGUACUUUCAGCGGGGAGGAAGGGAGUAAAGUUAAUACCUUUGCUCAUUGACGUUACCCGCAGAAGAAGCACCGGCUAACUCCGUGCCAGCAGCCGCGGUAAUACGGAGGGUGCAAGCGUUAAUCGGAAUUACUGGGCGUAAAGCGAGCGCAGGCGGUUUCUUAAGUCUGAUGUGAAAGCCCCCGGCUCAACCGGGGAGGGUCAUUGGAAACUGGGAGACUUGAGUGCAGAAGAGGGGAGUGGAAUUCCAUGUGUAGCGGUGAAAUGCGUAGAUAUAUGGAGGAACACCAGUGGCGAAGGCGGCUCUCUGGUCUGUAACUGACGCUGAGGCUCGAAAGCGUGGGGAGCAAACAGG